Molecule: long non-coding RNA, 8665 nt
Filed under: Zea mays
Lineage: Eukaryota; Viridiplantae; Streptophyta; Magnoliopsida; Poales; Poaceae
Description: long non-coding RNA (ZMAY_LNC002732)
Source: RNAcentral
CUGCUAUAAUUCACCGGACUGUCUGGUGUAGCACCAGACUGUCCGGUGCGCCAGCAGAGCAACGACUAUUUCGUGCCAACGGUCGCCUGCAGAAGACAUUAAAUGCGCUACAGUGCACGCAGAAGUCAGAGCACGCGCAGAAGGCGCACCGGACAGUCUACAGGACCUGUCCGGUGCACCACCGGACUGUUCGUUGCCCCAGAUGUCAGAAGCUCCAACGGUUAGAAUACAACGGACGGGUGACGUGGCUGGCGCACCGGACUGUCCGGUGCGCCAUGCGACAGAAGCCCUCACCAACAGUUCUUUUGGUGGUUGGGGCUAUAAAUACCCCCAACCACCACACUUCAAUGCAUCCAAGUUUUCAGCCUUCAAACACCUUACAAGAGCUAUAGCAUUCAAUACAAGACACAAUCAAAGAGAUCAAAUCCUCUCCCAAGUCCAAAGAUCAUUGCAAUCAAAUAGUGACUAGUGAGAGAGAGACUUGUGUUCAUUUGAGCUCUUGCGCUUGGAUUGAUUUUCUUCUUCAUUCUUUCUUGUGUUCAUCUCAAUUGUAACCAAGACAAGAGACACCAAUUGUGUGGUGGACCUUGUGGGAACUUAGUGUCCCGUUUGAUUGAGAAGAGAAGCUCACUCGGUCUAAGUGACCGUUUGAGAGAGGGAAAGGGUUGAAAGAGACCCGGUCUAUGUGACCACCUCAAUGGGGAGUAGGUUUGCAAGAACCGAACCUUGGUAAAACAAAUCACUGUGUCAUCCGCCUUAUUUGCUUGUGAUUUGUUUUCGCCCUCUCUUCCGGACUCGAAUUUUAUUCUAACACUAACCCCGGCUUGUAGUUGUGCUUAAAGUUUGUAAAUUUCAGAUUCGCCCUAUUCACCCCCCUCUAGGCGACUUUCAAUUGGUAUCAGAGCCCGGUACUUCAUUAGAGCCUAACCGCUCGAAGUGAUGUCGGGAGAUCACGCCAAGAAGGAGAUGAUGACCGGCGAGAAGCCCGCCACAAGCCAUAGGAAGGCUCCAUCCGGGGAGUCUGGCAACAAGGUGAAGGGAUCCCCUUCACAUGACAAGUCGCGUCGGAGCGGUGACAAGAAGAAGAAGAUGAAGAAGGUGGUCUACUACGAGACCGACUCCUCAUCGCCAUCCACCUCCGGCUCCGACACGCCGUCCGUCACUUCUAAGCACCAUGAGCGCAAGAAGUUUAGUAAGAUCCCCUUACGUUAUCCUCGCAUUUCCAAAUGCACCCCUUUACUUUCCGUCCCACUAGGCAAACCACCGGUUUUUGACGGUGAAGAUUAUUGUAUGUUGAGUGAUAAAAUGAGGCACCAUCUAACCUCACUCCACGCUAGCAUUUGGAACUUUGUUGAGUUUGGUGCACAGGAACCAUCCGUGGGGGAUGAAGGCUAUGACUCGGAUGAAGUAGCCCAAAUCCGGCACUUCAACUCCCAAGCCACCACUAUACUCCUCGCCUCUCUAAGUCGAGAGGAGUAUAACAAGGUGCAAGGGUUGAAGAGUGCCAAAGAAAUUUGGGAUGUACUCAAGACCGCACACGAAGGAGAUGAGGUGACCAAGAUCACCAAGAGGGAAACGAUCGAGGGGGAGCUCGGUCGUUUCAUGCUUCACCAAGGGGAGGAUCCACAAGCCAUGUACAACUGGCUCAAGACCUUGGUGAACCAAGUGCGCAACCUCGGAAGCACCAAGUGGGAUGACCAUGAGAUGGUCAAGGUUAUUCUAAGAUCACUUGUAUUUCUUAAUCCCACUCAAGUUCAAUUAAUUCGUGGUGAUCCUAGAUACAAGAUAAUGUCUCCCGAGGAAGUAAUAGGAAAAUUUGUGAGCUUUGAAUUAAUGAUCAAAGGCUCCAAGAAAAUCAUCGAGCAAGGCGUCUCCUCCACACCCGAUGUGCAACCCGUGGCAUUCAAGGCAACGGAGGAGAAGAAAGAAGACUCUACACCGAGUAGAGUCCCCAUCGAUGCCUCCAAGCUCGACAACGAGGAGAUGGCACUCAUCAUCAAGAGCUUUCGCCAAAUCCUCAAGCAAAGGAGGGGGAAAGACUACAAGCCCCGCUCCAAGAAAGUUUGCUACAAGUGUGGUAAGCCCAGUCAUUUUAUUGCAAAAUGUCCAUUAUCAAGUGAUAGUGACAGGGGCGACGACAAGAAGGGAAAGAGAAGAGAAAAGAAGACGUACUACAAGAAGAAGGGCGGUGAUGCCCAUGUUUGCCGGGAGUGGGACUCCGACGAGAGCUCCACCGACUCCUCCUCCGAUGAGGACGCCGCAAACAUCGCCGUCACCAAAGGGCUUCUCUUCCCCAACGUCGGUCACAAGUGCCUCAUUGCAAAGGACGGAAAGAAGAAGAAGGUAAAAUCUAGAUCCUCCACUAAGUAUGCAACAUCUAGUGAUGAGGCUAAUUCUACUGAUGAUGAGGAUGAUUUAUUAACACUUUUUGCCAACUUAAACAUGCAACAAAAGGAAAAAUUAAAUGAGUUAAUUAGUGCUAUUCAUGAGAAGGAUGAACUCUUGGACACCCAAGAGUACUUCCUAAUUAAAGAAAAUAAAAAGCAUGUUAAGGUGAAAAAUGCUUAUGCUCUAGAGAUAGAAAAAUGUGAAAAAUUAACUAGCGAGCUAAGCACUUGCCAUGAUAUUAUUUCCAACCUUAGAAAUGAAAAUGCCAAAUUAAUUGCUAAGGUUGAGAAGUCAAAUAUUUGUGAUGAUUCAAUUGACAAUCUUAGAAAUGAUAAUGCUAGUUCAAUUGCUAAGAUUGAAAAAUUGAAUGCCUCUCUUGCUAGCCUUAGAAAUGAGAAUGAAAAAUUAAUUGUUAAGGCUAAGGAAUUAGAUGUUUGCAAUGUUUCCAUUUCCAAUCUUAGAGAUGAGAAUGACAUUUUACAUGCUAAGAUUGUUGAACUAAAUUCUUGCAAACCCUCUACAUCUACCGUUGAGCAUGUUACAAUUUGCACUAGAUGUAGAGAUGUUAACAUUGAUGCUAUUCAUGAUCACAUGGAUAUGAUUAAACAACAAAAUGAUCAUAUAGCAAAAUUAGAUGCUAAAAUUGCCGAGCAUGAGUUAGAAAAUGAAAAAUUUAAAUUUGCUCGUAGUAUGCUCUAUAGUGGGAGACGCCCUGGCAUUAAUGAUGGCAUUGGCUUCCAACAGGGAGGCAAUGUCAAACUUAAUGCCCCUCCUAAAAGAUUGUCAAACUUUGUUAAGGGCAAGGCUCCCAUGCCUCGGGAUAACGAGGGUUACAUUUUAUACCCUGCCGGUUAUCCCGUGCACAAAAUUAGGAGAAAUCAUUCUAGGAAGUCUCACUCUGGCUCUAAUCAUGCUUUUAUGUAUAAGAGUGAGGCAUCUAGUUCUAGGCAAUCAACCCGUGCUAAAUUGUCUAAGAAGAAAACUCCUAUUGCAUCAAAUGAACCUAAUAUUUCAUUUAAGACUUUUGAUGCAUCUUAUGUGCUAACUAACAAAUCAGGCAAAGUAGUUGCCAAAUAUGUUGGGGGCAAACACAAAGGAUCAAAGACUUGUGUUUUGGUACCCAAGGUGCUUGUUUCUAAUGUGAAAGGACCCAAGACCGUUUGGGUACCUAAGAACAAGGCCUAAACUUAUUUUGUAGGUUUAUGCAUCUGGGGCUCAAGUUGGAUCAUCGAUAGCGGGUGCACAAACCACAUGACAGGGGAGAAGAAGAUGUUCUCCUCCUAUGAGAAAAACCAUGAUCCCCAAAGAGCUAUCACAUUCGGGGAUGGAAAUCAAGGUUUGGUCAAAGGAUUAGGUAAAAUUGCUAUAUCACCUGACCAUUCUAUUUCCAAUGUUUUUCUUGUAGAUUCUUUAGAUUACAAUUUGCUUUCUGUUUCUCAAUUAUGCAAAAUGGGCUACAACUGUCUUUUUACAGAUUUAGGUGUUACUGUCUUUAGAAGAAGUGAUGAUUCAGUAGCAUUUAAGGGAGUGUUAGAGGGUCAGCUAUACUUGGUAGAUUUUGAUAGAGCUGAACUCGACACUUGCUUAAUUGCUAAGACUAACAUGGGUUGGCUCUGGCAUCGCCGACUAGCCCAUGUUGGGAUGAAGAAUCUUCAUAAGCUUCUAAAGGGAGAGCACAUUUUGGGACUAACCAAUGUUCAUUUUGAGAAAGACAGGGUUUGUAGCGCAUGUCAAGCAGGAAAGCAAGUUGGUGUUCAUCAUCCACACAAGAACAUCAUGAUGAUCGAUAGGCCGCUUGAACUACUCCACAUGGACUUAUUCGACCCGAUUGCUUACAUAAGCAUCAGCGGGAGUAAGUAUUGUCUCGUAAUUGUGGAUGAUUAUUCUCGCUUCACUUGGGUGUUCUUUUUGCAGGAAUAAUCUCAAACCCAAGAGACUUUAAAGGGAUUCUUGAAAUGGGCUCAAAAUGAAUUCGGUUUGAGGAUCAAGAAAAUAAGAAGCGACAAUGGGACGGAGUUCAAGAACUCUCAAAUAGAAGGCUUCCUUGAGGAGGAGGGCAUCAAGCAUUAGUUCUCUUCUACCUACACGCCACAACAAAAUGGUGUAGUGGAGAGGAAGAAUAGAACUCUAUUGGACAUGGCAAGGACCAUGCUUGAUGAGUACAAGACUUUGGAUCGGUUUUGGGCUGAGGCGGUUAACACCGCUUGCUACGCCAUCAACCGGUUAUAUCUACACCGAAUCCUCAAGAAGACAUCGUAUGAACUCACCGGUAAAAAGAUAAAUGUUUCAUAUUUUAGAGUCUUUGGUAGCAAAUGUUUUAUUCUUGUUAAAAGAGGUAGAAAAUCUAAAUUUGCUCCUAAGGAUGUAGAAGACUUUUUACUAGGAUAUGAUUCAAACACGAGGGCAUAUAGAGUCUUUAACAAGUCCACGGGACUAGUUGAAGUUUCUUGUGACAUUGUGUUUGAUGAGACUAACGGCUCUCAAGUAGAGCAAGUUGAUCUUGAUGUGCUAGAUGAUGAAGAGGCUCCGUGCGACGCGCUGAGGAACAUGUCCAUUGGGGAUGUGUGUCCUAAGGAAUCCGAAGAGCCUCCACAAGCACAAGAUCAACCAUCUUCCUCAAUGCAAGCAUCUCCACCAACUCAAGAUGAGGAUCAAGCUCAAGAUGAUGAUGAAGAUCAAGAGGAGCCACCUCAAGAGGACAAUGAUCAAGGGGGAGAUGCUAAUGAUCAAGAUAAGGAAUAUGAUGAGGACCCAAGACCGCCACACCCAAGAGUCCACCAAGCAAUCCAACGAGAUCACCCCGUGAACACCAUCCUCGGCGAUAUUCAAAAGGGGGUAACCACUCGAUCUCGUGUUGCUCAUUUUUGUGAACAUUACUCUUUUGUUUCCUCUAUUGAGCCACACAUAGUAGAGGAAGCACUUCAAGAUUCGGAUUAGGUGCUAGCGAUGCAAGAGGAGCUCAACAACUUCACAUGGAAUGAGGUAUGGCAUUUAGUUCCACGUCCUAACCAAAAUAUUGUAGGAACCAAGUGGGUCUUCCGCAACAAGCAAGAUGAGCAUGGUGUGGUGACAAGGAACAAAGCCCGACUUGUGGCCAAGGGAUAUUCACAAGUCAAAGGUUUGGAUUUCGGUGAAACCUAUGCACCCGUAGCUAGGCUUGAGUCAAUUCGCAUUUUACUUUCCUAUGCUACUUACCAUGGCUUUAACCUUUACCAAAUGGACGUGAAAAGUGCCUUCCUCAAUGGACCAAUCAAGGAAGAGGUCUAUGUUGAGCAACCUCCCGGCUUUGAAGAUAGUGAAUACCCUAACCAUGUCUAUAAACUCUCUAAGGCGCUUUAUGGGCUCAAGCAAGCCCCAAGAGCAUGGUAUGAAUGCCUUAGAGAUUUCCUUAUCGCUAAUGGCUUCAAAGUCGGAAAAGCUGAUCCUACUCUCUUUACUAAAACACUUGCAAAUGAUUUGUUUGUAUGCCAAAUUUAUGUUGAUGAUAUCAUAUUUGGGUCUACUAACGAAUCUACAUGUGAAGAGUUUAGUAGGAUCAUGACUCAAAAAUUCGAGAUGUCUAUGAUGGGGGAGUUGAAGUAUUUCUUAGGAUUUCAAGUGAAGCAACUCCAAGAGGGCACCUUCAUUAGCCAAACGAAGUACAUUCAAGACAUACUCACCAAGUUUGGGAUGAAGGAUGCCAAGCCCAUCAAGACACCCAUGGGAACUAAUGGGCAUCUCGACCUCGACACGGGAGGUAAAUCCGUAGAUCAAAAGGUAUACCGGUCGAUGAUAGGUUCUUUACUCUAUUUAUGUGCUUCACGACCGGAUAUUAUGCUUUCCGUAUGCAUGUGUGCAAGAUUCCAAGCCGAUCCUAAGGAAGUUCAUCUUAGGGCCGUGAAAUGAAUCUUGAGAUAUUUAGUUUAUACUCCUAAGUUUGGCCUUUGGUACCCCAGGGGAUCCACAUUUGAUUUAAUUGGUUAUUCCGAUGCUGAUUGGGCAAGGUGUAAAAUUAAUAGAAAGACCACAUCAGGGACUUGCCAGUUCUUGGAAAGAUCUCUGGUGUCUUGGGCUUCAAAGAAGCAAAAUUCUGUGGCUCUUUCUACUGCAGAAGCCGAGUAUAUUGCCGCAGGUCAUUGUUGCGCGCAAUUGCUUUGGAUGAGGCAAACCCUUAUGGACUACGGUUACAAAUUAACCAAAGUUCCUCUUCUAUGUGAUAAUGAGAGUGCAAUCCGCAUGGUAGAUAAUCCCGUUGAGCAUAGCCGCACUAAACACAUAGCCAUUCGGUAUCAUUUCUUAAGGGAUCACCAACAAAGGGGAUAUCGAGAUUGCAUAUGUUAACACCAAAGAACAAUUAGCCGAUAUCUUUACCAAGCCAUUAGAUGAGCAAACUUUUACCAAACUUAGGCAUGAGCUAAAUAUUCUUGAUUCUAGGAAUUUUGAUUGAUGUUUUGCACACAUAGCUCAUUUAUAUACCUUUGAUCAUAUCUCUUUCUUUGCUAUGACUAAUGUGGCUUUCAAGUGUAUUUCAAGCUCAGUCAUAGAUUGAAAGGGGAAAUGGAGUCUUCGGCGAAGACAAGGCUUCCACUCCACUCCAUCGAAUUAUUCAUCCUUCGCCGUCGCUCCGCACCGCUCUCCAACUUUGGUAUAAUCUUCACUCAUAUUUUAUUUACCAUAGGGGGAGAAAGUAGUUUAAAAAGGGCUCUAAUGACUCCGUUUUUGGUGAUUCAUGCCAAAGGGGAGAGAGUAUUAGCCCAAAGCAAAAGGACCGCACCACCACCAAUUUCAAAAAUUUUAGUCUCUCAAUUUGUUUUUAAAGUAGUGUUUUCAAAUUGGUAUCUUAUUGGUGAUAUAAUUUCAAUUUGGUAUACCCUCUUCAAAAUUAACAUCUAAAACCCUCUUGAACACUAAGAGUAGGAUUUCAUUAAGGGGGAGUUUUGUUUAGUCAAAGGAAAAACACUUGAAACAAAGGGAGAAAAUUUCAGAUCUUGAAAAUGCUUCUCAAAAUCCUACUCAUAUAUCUUUGACUAUUUGCAAAAAGACUUUGAAAAGAAUUUCCAAAACAUUUGCAAAACAAAACAUGUGGUGCAAGCAUGGUCCAAAAUUUUAAAUAAGAAGAAAGUCAUCCAUGCAUAUCUAGUAGGAAUAAUUAUUGGUUUCAUUCCAAGUAACCUUUGCACUUAUGCAAAAUAGUUCAAUUCUCCACUUUAUAUUUGCUUUGGUUUCUGUUGGCAUCAAUCACCAAAAAGGGGGAGAUUGAAAGGGAAAUAGGCUUACACCUUUUCCUAAUUGAUUUUGGUGGUUGAAUUUCCCAACACAAAUAAUUGGACUAACUAGUUUGCUCUAGAUUAUAAGUUUUACAGGUGGCAAAGGUUCACAACAAACAAAUAAAAGGACUAAGAAAGGGUUCAAAUAAAAGGAGCAAUAGACAACCGAAGUGUGCCCUGGUCUGGCGCACCGGACUGUCCGGUGUGCCACCGGACAGUGUCCGGUGCACCAGGAAACUCAACUCCGAACUACUCACCUUCGGGAAUUCCGGGAGCCACUCCGCUAUAAUUCACCGGACUGUCCGGUGUAGCACCGGACUGUCCGGUGCGCCAGCAGAGCAACAACUAUUUCGCGCCAACGGUCGCCUGCAGAAGACAUUAAAUGCGCUAUAGUGCGCGCAGAAGUCAGAGCACGCGCAGAAGGCGCACCGAACAGUCUACAGGACCUGUCUGGUGCACCACCGGACUGUCCGGUGCCCCAGAUGUCAGAAGCUCCAACGGUCAGAAUCCAACGGCCGGGUGACGUGGCUGGCGCACCUGACAAUGUUUCUUUUGGUGGUUGGGGCUAUAAAUACCCCCCAACCACCACACUUCAAUGCAUCCAAGUUUUCAGCCUUCAAACACCUUACAAGAGCUAUAGCAUUCAAUACAAGACACAAUCAAAGAGAUCAAAUCCUCUCCCAAGUCCAAAGAUCAUUCCAAUCAAAUAGUGACUAGUGAGAGAGAGACUUGUGUUCAUUUGAGCUCUUGCGCUUGGAUUGCUUUUCUUCUUCAUUCUUUCUUGUGUUCAACUCAAUUGUAACCAAGACAAGAGACACCAAUUGUGUGGUGGUCCUUGUGGGGACUUAGUGUCCCGUUUGAUUGAGAAGAGAAGCUCACUCGGUCUAAGUGAUCGUUUGAGAGAGGGAAAGGGUUGAAAGAGACCCGGUCUUUGUGACCACCUCAAUGGGGAGUAAGUUUGCAAGAACCGAACCUCGGUAAAACAAAUCACUGUGUCAUCCACCUUAUUUGCUUGUGAUUUGUUUUCUCCC